GCGGAAGUGGCGAAAUUGGUAGACGCACCAGAUUUAGGUUCUGGCGCCGCAAGGUGUGAGAGUUCAAGUCUCUCCUUCCGC
Molecule: transfer RNA, 81 nt
Filed under: Vibrio aestuarianus
Lineage: Bacteria; Pseudomonadati; Pseudomonadota; Gammaproteobacteria; Vibrionales; Vibrionaceae
Description: tRNA-Leu
Rfam family: tRNA
About the family: Transfer RNA (tRNA) molecules are approximately 80 nucleotides in length. Their secondary structure includes four short double-helical elements and three loops (D, anti-codon, and T loops).
Source: RNAcentral